RNAcentral lists this ribosomal RNA (375 nucleotides) under uncultured bacterium. RNAcentral's name for it is "bacterial SSU rRNA". It matches the Rfam family "Bacterial small subunit ribosomal RNA", at positions 521 to 896 of the family's 1533-position model. The record is from RNAcentral.
UAAUACAGAGGGUGCGAGCGUUAAUCGGAGUUACUGGGCGUAAAGGGCGCGUAGGCGGUUAUAUGGGUGUGAUGUGAAAGCCCCGGGCUUAACCUGGGAAGUGCAUCGCAAACUAUAUAGCUAGAGUAUAAGAGAGGGUGGCGGAAUUUCCGGUGUAGCGGUGAAAUGCGUAGAGAUCGGAAGGAACGUCAAUGGCGAAGGCAGCCACCUGGCUUAAUACUGACGCUGAAGCGCGAAAGCGUGGGGAGCGAACAGGAUUAGAUACCCUGGUAGUCCACGCUGUAAACGAUGAGAACUAGAUGUUGGUAGGGGAACCUAUCAGUAUCGAAGCUAACGCGAUAAGUUCUCCGCCUGGGAAGUACGGCCGCAAGGUUG